CAAAUCAUGCGAAAAAUGAGAAUCAAGAGGUCUUUCAAGGGUUGUAAUAUGGCUUGGGUUACAAGAAAGGAUAUGAUUAAGAGAAUUCAACAAUGUUGCCUAUCCUAAGGGAGCAUUCCCAAACAUUCAACUUUACACAAUUUCCAUUUCUAUGAUCCUUAUCUUUUUCCUUUUCUUUUUCUUUUCACAUCCACACAACCAUGAGCAUUUUCCUUUUUUUUUUCUUUUUUUUCUUUUUCUUUGCUCUAUGGUUUCAAGGGUGAUUUCUUUUUCUUGUUUCUUUUCAUACUUUCACCCUUUCAUAAAAACUCACUUUUCC
Molecule: long non-coding RNA, 319 nt
Filed under: Lathyrus oleraceus (garden pea)
Lineage: Eukaryota; Viridiplantae; Streptophyta; Magnoliopsida; Fabales; Fabaceae
Description: Pisum sativum (pea) long non-coding RNA (PSAT_LNC020453)
Source: RNAcentral